This 373-nucleotide ribosomal RNA is filed under the name uncultured bacterium. RNAcentral's name for it is "bacterial SSU rRNA". It matches the Rfam family "Bacterial small subunit ribosomal RNA", at positions 525 to 896 of the family's 1533-position model. The record is from RNAcentral.
ACAGAGGUGGCAAGCGUUGUUCGGAAUUACUGGGCGUAAAGGGCGCGUAGGCGGCCUUGUAAGUCCCGUGUGAAAUCCCCUGGCUCAACUAGGGAAUUGCACGGGAGACUGCUUGGCUUGAGUUCGGGAGAGGGAAGCGGAAUUCCGGGUGUAGCGGUGAAAUGCGUAGAUAUCCGGAGGAACACCGGUGGCGAAGGCGGCUUCCUGGACCGACACUGACGCUGAGGCGCGAAAGCUAGGGGAGCAAACGGGAUUAGAUACCCCGGUAGUCCUAGCUGUAAACGAUGAGUGCUGGGUGUGGGGGGUAUUAACCCCCCCUGUGCCGAAGCUAACGCAUUAAGCACUCCGCCUGGGGAGUACGGUCGCAAGGCUG